This 468-nucleotide ribosomal RNA is filed under the name uncultured bacterium. Its description in RNAcentral is "partial 16S ribosomal RNA". It matches the Rfam family "Bacterial small subunit ribosomal RNA", at positions 28 to 507 of the family's 1533-position model. The record is from RNAcentral.
GACGAACGCUAGCGGUGUGCUUAACACAUGCAAGUCGAACGGAAAGGCCCUGUUUUUUUGGGAAGCUUGAGUGGCGCACGGGUAAGUAACCGGAACGUAUCCUGCCCUUGCCUUUGGGAUAACUUUAGGACACUGGGGCUCAUACCGAUUAGGAGCUCAUGCUGUAUGGUGGGGGUAGGAAAGUUUCGGCGGAUGGGGAUGGACUCGAGGCUUAUCAGCUAGUUGGUGGGGGGGUGGGUUACCAAGGCUUUGACGGGUAGCCGGCCUGAGAGUGUGACCGGCCACAUUGGGACUGAGAUACGGCCCGGACUCCUACGGGAGACAGAAGUGGGGAAUAGUGCACGAUGGGCGGAAGCCUGAUGCAGCAACGCCGCGUGCGGGAUGACGGCCUUCUGGUUGUAAACCGCUUUCGCCGGUGACUAAGCGUGAGUGACGGUAAUGUAUAAAGAAGCACCGGCUAACUACGUG